AUUGAACGCUGGCGGCAGGCCUAACACAUGCAAGUCGAACGAGUGGCGGACGGGUGAGUAAUGUCUGGGACACUGCCCGAUGGAGGGGGAUAACUUCUGGAAACGGUAGCUAAUACCGCAUACCAUCGGAUGUGCCCAGAUGGGAUUAGGUAGUGGGUGGGGUAACGGCUCACCUAGGCGACGAUCCCUCGCUGGUCUGAGAGGAUGACCAGCCACACGGGAACUGGACAACGGUCCAGAUCCCUACGGGAGGAAGCAGUGGGGAAUAUUGAACAAGGGGCGAAAGCCGGAGGCAGCCAUGCGGCGUGUAUGAAUAAGGCCUUCGGGUUGUAAAGUACUUUCAGCGAGGAGGCGUUACUCGCAGAAGAAGCACCGGCUAACUCCGUGCCAGCAGCCGCGGUAAUUC
Molecule: ribosomal RNA, 406 nt
Filed under: uncultured bacterium
Lineage: Bacteria
Description: partial 16S ribosomal RNA
Rfam family: Bacterial small subunit ribosomal RNA
Source: RNAcentral